GAAACGCGAUAGUUAAUGUGAAUUGCAGAAUUCAGUGAAUCAUCGAGUCUUUGAACGCACAUUGCGCCCAUAGGUAUUCCUUUGGGCAUGUCUGUUUGAGCGUCAUUACAACCCUCAGCUAACCGCUGGUUUUGAACCUGAACGGGUGACACCGCGCCGGUUUUAAAGUUGUAAGCUCUGCUGGCCGCUCUGCCCAACCAGAACAUAGUAAGCACUACUUGUCCGAGUGAAGCUGAACGGUACGGCCUGAACAAAACCUACCCACUCUCAAGGUUUGACCUCAGAUCAGACAAGGAUACCCGCUGAACUUAAGC
RNAcentral lists this unclassified non-coding RNA (314 nucleotides) under plant metagenome. RNAcentral describes it as "partial contains 5.8S ribosomal RNA, internal transcribed spacer 2, and large subunit ribosomal RNA". The stretch from base 1 to 105 matches the Rfam family "5.8S ribosomal RNA", at positions 50 to 154 of the family's 154-position model. The record is from RNAcentral.